AUCUUUUAUUGUAUUUAGAUUCUUCAUUAUGCUCACAUAGCGGAUCCAUUGUAUGAAUUUUUAUGCAAAGGUUAUCCAUUUAAAUGGAAAGAAAAGCAUGUUAAAGUAGUGCAAAGAUUAAAGAAAUUAUUGAUAUUGCCUCUAAUGUUGAGAAAAGUUAACUAUAAGUACAAUAGAUCAGUGAUUCUUAUUAAGGAUAC
Molecule: long non-coding RNA, 200 nt
Filed under: Physcomitrium patens
Lineage: Eukaryota; Viridiplantae; Streptophyta; Bryopsida; Funariales; Funariaceae
Description: long non-coding RNA (PPAT_LNC010454)
Source: RNAcentral